RNAcentral lists this ribosomal RNA (492 nucleotides) under uncultured Propionibacterium sp. Its description in RNAcentral is "bacterial SSU rRNA". It matches the Rfam family "Bacterial small subunit ribosomal RNA", at positions 1 to 507 of the family's 1533-position model. The record is from RNAcentral. Lineage: Bacteria; Bacillati; Actinomycetota; Actinomycetes; Propionibacteriales; Propionibacteriaceae.
UAGAGGUUUGACUCCUGGCUCGAGGACGAACGCUGGCGGCGUGCUUAACACAUGCAAGUCGAACGGAAAGGCCCUGCUUUUGUGGGGUGCUCGAGUGGCGAACGGGUGAGUAACACGUGAGUAACCUGCCCUUGACUUUGGGAUAACUUCAGGAAACUGGGGCUAAUACCGGAUAGGGGCUCCUGCUGCAGUGGUGGGGGUUGGAAAGUUUCGGCGGUUGGGGAUGGACUCGCGGCUUAUCAGCUUGUUGUGGGGUAGUGGCUUACCAAGGCUUUGACGGGUAGCCGGCCUGAGAGGGUGACCGGCCACAUUGGGACUGAGAUACGGCCCAGACUCCUACGGGAGGCAGCAGUGGGGAAUAUUGCACAAUGGGCGGAAGCCUGAUGCAGCAACGCCGCGUGCGGGAUGACGGCCUUCGGGUUGUAAACCGCUUUCGCCUGUGACGAAGCGUGGGUGACGGUAAUGGGUAAAGAAGCACCGGCUAACUACGUG